ACAACGGCUGCACCAACAACAACAGCUGUGCCCACAACAACAGCCGCCCCAAUAACAAUUGCACCCACAACAACAGAAGCAGUCGUAGCAAGGCUAUUGACAUUCAGAUCUCAAGAAGAGACAUUUACAAGUGAUUUGCACGUUCCAUCAUCUGCAGCGUUUCAAAGUCGAGCUGUAUUGAUAGAGUCAACACUCAGACCUUUACUCAAAGAAGCUUUUCCUUCGUUCCGCAACAUCCGUGUGAUUUCAUUCAGUAAUGGAUCAAUCAUCCAAAACUCACUCAUUUAUUUUCCAUUAACAUCUGCUCCUAAUGGCACUGAGAUUCGAAAAGUUUUGGUUGCAGCAGCUUGUAUCAUCAGAACCUUCAACAUUGACAACAACUCCAUUUAUUUUGAUGGCACACAGGUUUCAAGUGGAGUAAGCCACAACAUCAGUCUCAUCACUGCAUCCUUCCUUGUGCUGAUGUCAUGGAUCCUGUCAAGCCAGCAAUAGCGUCAUUGCUGAUUACUGUUUGAAUUUGCAUUAUUGCAUGACUGCCAUCACUGGCAUGAAAAAUGACUUCUUGAUUCUUGUCAAAGAAGUCUUGUACAGCGUCAUAUAAACUUACUAUCACAUUUCAUUUUGCAAUUACUGCACAUAUUUAAGACAGUGGAUUAGGUUUAUGUCAAUCUUAACACGUUUCUAGGUUUCACUUUAUUCCAUAUCAUUACAUUACAUUGCAUAGAAAUAUCAGAGAGCAUAUUGUAAAGGGAACAUGUGUCUAAAGUUAAUUAAAGGAACAACACUGCAGGUCAUCAUGAGUCGUGGAACCAACCGUGAA
Molecule: long non-coding RNA, 820 nt
Organism: Cyclopterus lumpus (lumpfish)
Lineage: Eukaryota; Metazoa; Chordata; Actinopteri; Perciformes; Cyclopteridae
Exons: 4
Source: RefSeq, a predicted model, not a curated record